AUGCGGCUCUUCGACGCGCACUGCCACCUGCAGGACCCCCGCAUCGCGGCGGCCGCCCCCGCCCUCAUACGCGCCGCCACAGCCUCCGGCGUCGGCCGGUUCGCGGUCAACGGCACCUCCGAGAAAGACUGGCACCUGGUGAAGCAGAUGGCCCAGGAGCACCCGGCUGUCAUCCCCUGCUUCGGCCUCCACCCAUGGUGGGUACCGGAGAGGUCGCCUGAUUGGAUGGAUUCGCUCCGGCAGUUCUUCUCGGAGACCCCAGAGGCGGCUGUUGGAGAGGUUGAAGUAUUCCAACGACAACUUGAACUUGCUAAGGAAUUGGAGAAACCUGUUUCUGUUCAUUGUGUACGUACCUUCGGCGAUCUUCUGGAAAUACUAAAGCGUACUGGGCCUUUCCCAGCAGGUGUGCUGUUGCAUUCUUAUCUGGGGUCUGCAGAAAUGGUGCCCGGCCUUGCAAAUUUAGGUUGUUACUUUUCGUUGUCUGGUUUCCUUACAGGCAUGAAAUCUACUAAGGCAAAGAAAAUGCUCAAAGCAAUACCCUUGGACAGGAUUCUGUUAGAGACAGAUGCACCAGAUGCAGUACCAAAGUUGGACAAUGUUUCUCUAGUUACAGUUUUGAAGUAUGUGGCAUCACUGCUUGAAAUGCCGGAAGCAGAACUCGCCGAGGCGAGCUACAGGAACGCCACCAAACUGUUCUCCUACCCUGGACCCAAAGUUCAUCCCGAAGCUGAAACUGUGUGA
RNAcentral lists this ribosomal RNA (741 nucleotides) under Triticum aestivum (bread wheat). Its description in RNAcentral is "partial small subunit ribosomal RNA". Lineage: Eukaryota; Viridiplantae; Streptophyta; Magnoliopsida; Poales; Poaceae. The record is from RNAcentral.